AGGACGAACGCUGGCGGCGCGCCUAACACAUGCAAGUCGAACGGAGCUUGCACUUCUGAAGUUUCGGAUGGACGAGGUACAAGCUUAGUGGCGAACGGGUGAGUAACACGUGAAGAACCUGCCCUUCAGUGGGGGACAACAGUUGGAAACGACUGCUAAUACCGCAUAAGACCACAGUACCGCAUGGUACAGUGAUCAAAGGAUUUAUUCGCUGAAGGAUGGCUUCGCGUCCGAUUAGGUAGUUGGUGAGGUAACGGCCCACCAAGCCUACGAUCGGUAGCCGGACUGAGAGGUUGAUCGGCCACAUUGGGACUGAGACACGGCCCAGACUCCUACGGGAGGCAGCAGUGGGGAAUAUUGCACAAUGGAGGAAACUCUGAUGCAAGCGACGCCGCGUGAGGGAAGAAGGUCUUCGGAUUGUAAACCUCUGUCUUCAGGGACGAUAAUGACGGUACCUGAGGAGGAAGCACCGGCUAACUACGUGCCAGCAGCAGC
Molecule: ribosomal RNA, 495 nt
Filed under: uncultured bacterium
Lineage: Bacteria
Description: bacterial SSU rRNA
Rfam family: Bacterial small subunit ribosomal RNA
Source: RNAcentral